Long non-coding RNA from Sarcophilus harrisii (Tasmanian devil), 2672 nucleotides. RefSeq lists it as uncharacterized. The transcript is spliced from 5 exons. The record is from RefSeq and is a predicted model, not a curated record. NCBI's taxonomy places the organism in Eukaryota, Metazoa, Chordata, Mammalia, Dasyuromorphia, Dasyuridae.
CAUCCCUGCCCGGAGUCCAGCCCAGGCCACUAUGUCGGCCCUGGCUUGUCCGGGAUCUGCCCAGCACCCCCCUCCUCUGUGUUGUACCGUUCCUUCCCCCCUCCCCCUUGCCCCAGGCUGGGAGUGACUCCAAGUGGAGCAGGAAUGCUGGGAUCUCUGGGCAGGAAGCAUCCACCGCCCUUCACAACUGCACGCGAAUCUCCUUCCCGACAGGCGGCAAGGGGGCACCCGCCGCCUGGUGGAGGGAAACCAGCACCCGUGGGGAGGGGGCGCCUUCCCCUGGGGACGCGCUCAUCGGUGGGGAAGGCUUCCCUGCACUUCCUACCCAACGCUACAAAAUCUUCCAACUGACUGCGUGAGGUUUUCAGGGCUCUCCCAAACCUGCCUCUGCUGGAAGUGCACAGCCACGCACUGGCCAGAUUUCAGCGCGUCUGGAGGGGAGACGCCCCGUUUCUGGCCCCCCACCCCCGGCCCGCUCCACUGCACUUCAGCACCCCCCAAGUGAUGAGCUCGCCGGCUUCACGUGCGCACACCCAAGGUUCCCGGCAUGCACUGCGCCUGAUUCUGCGGGGAAGAGGAGUCCUGAUCUGUCUCCCCUCUCUUCUUCCUCCACCCCCCCCCACUUUCUGGUAUCCAUGUUGACACAUCCUGCAACGGGCCUCUCUGUGGAAUGGGGGCGAGGUUGGCGACCUGCAGAACUCCCUCCCAGGCAAGGAAGAGCUGUCCGCAGUGCCGAGACCCAGGCCCUCCUGUGGACUUCCCAACACUUUUCUCAGUGACUUGGAUGAAGCUGCACCACACCCUUAUGUCUCUGGAGCCAAACUCCUGGAAAAGGCCUCUGGAUCCUCUCACACUCAGGGACAGUUCCAGCUUCCGACAUCACCGUUCCCCAAAGGGAUCCCUUAGGUGCUACAGCCAGUAGCCUUUUCUCCACCCUCCUGCUCCCUGCCUCUGUGCAGUCUGCAGCAUGCCCGGUAUACAGCAGCCUCCUCCAUCAGAUCACAAGCUCCCCGAGGCAGGAACUGGGCUCUUUUCGUAUCCUUGGGAGCCAGGACAGCGCCUGACCUUAGUGGUGCUUAAUAAAUGCUGGCCAAUGGACUGAUCGUUCCAUCUCGGAAUGGAGCCCGGGCUGCAGGAAGAGGAGGUGAUUGUCCUGCUGGGAUCCUCAGCCUUCAUCAAGUGCCCCUCAGUUUAAGAGAGGCACCGAGAAGCUGAGAGUCCAGAGGGGACGGCCAGGAUGGUGGAGGGCCUGGGCUCUGUGUCAUGGAAGGAUCAGCUGAAGGAACUGGGCAGGUUUCCCCCAACAAAGACUCGGGGCAGGGCAUGCACAUGGAGCUCCAGUACCUGAAGGGACAUGCUUUGGCUGUGGUAAAGCUCAAGGAAGCUGGCUGGAGAGAAACGCCCCCUCACAAUCACAGCUGUGCCAUAUCGGGGCCUGACGUGCCAGGGAGGUGGUGGGUGCCACCGAUUAAUGUUACAUGUAAUGGCGGGGCCUCCUCCCUCUCACCAACAGUCCCCUCUGUCCAGGUCCCUUCCCUGAUUCUGCAACACCGGCCCCUCAGGGGCCGCUAGGGAUGGCCCGAGCCUGUCACGGGAGCAGCAGAGAGUGGACGGUGAUUCCCGAGGGCACAUGAACCAGGGUCGCCGAUUUGGAGGCAGCAGAGAAGCUGAAGGAAGCCGGGGGCAUCGCAGUGCCAGACUGAAGACUCCUCUUCCCAAGUUCAAAUCCUGCCUUAGACACUCACCAGCUAUGUGAUGCUGGGCUAAUCCCCAAACCCAUUAGCAAUUUCUGCCAAGAGAACCCCAAAUGGGAUCGUGAAGAGUCGGAUGCAACUGAAAAAUGACUGUCGGGAGAGAAUAAUCCAACCUUGAAUCUGAUCCUUUCCCAAACAUCCUGACCUAAGACCUCCGGGAAGCUCCCGCCUGCCUGGGACAGCUCUGAUCCUCAGGGAACUUUUCCUCUCGUCCCCUCCGCGUUCUGUCCCCCGGGGCCAAGGAGCACAAGGCCCGAGCUAUCUGUAAAGUGCUGAGCACGGAGCCUGGUACACAGUGGUGCUAUAAAAGCUUAUUCCCUCCCCUUCCAAUCCUUAGCCCAUGGAGAUCCCUUUUUUCUCUCUCCCGGCUUUGACACGUGAAGGGAGGGGAAGUAAGCAUGGCUGACCUGCCUCCAUCCAAGUCAUUAACAAAUGUGCGGGUCAGAUGCCCAGCGCACCCCCUCCAAGAAAGGGCUCACUCUAGAGCACGGCCAAAGCUUUCACCGAUGGCAUCAGAAUUAGAGCACAUUCUUUUUGGUGAGAAAACUGAGGGUCAGAGUGGUCCCAGAGCCUGCUCUGGCUGGGUCACUGAGCUACACAGUGUCAACGCCAGGAUUUUCUCAGACAGGGCCAGGAUCACCGACAGGGAGACUGGCGAGAGCCAUGGGGCCGGGGGGAGCUCACAGCACUUAGCAAUGUGUCUGAACGUCACAGCUUCCCCCCAAAUGUGGCCUGGGUCAAACCUGAGCCUGGACUCUAUGAAGACUGGUUCUCUUGAGCAACGACCACCAAGAAGGGCAGGGUACGGACAAAAAGAAUCUCUUUAUUUGAAAUGAGAGAGUUUCCUCAAGGAAAUUUCUUUAGCCUCUCCUUUUCCCAUCAUCGCCACCCCCGACAGCCCAUUUUUCAGACUGCUGA